Molecule: unclassified non-coding RNA, 400 nt
Filed under: uncultured Lysobacterales bacterium
Lineage: Bacteria; Pseudomonadati; Pseudomonadota; Gammaproteobacteria; Lysobacterales
Description: uncultured Xanthomonadales bacterium contains 16S-23S intergenic spacer region
Rfam family: Bacterial small subunit ribosomal RNA
Source: RNAcentral
UCCGGAUUAGAUACCCUGGUAGUCCACGCCGUAAACGAUGGGCACUAGGUGUGGGGGGUGUCGACUCCCUCCGUGCCGAAGCUAACGCGUUAAGUUCGCCGCCUGGGGAGUACGGUCGCAAGACUGAAACUCAAAGGAAUUGACGGGGGCCCGCACAAGCGGUGGAGUAUGUGGUUUAAUUCGAUGCAACGCGAAGAACCUUACCUGGCCUUGACAUGUCGAGAACUUUCCAGAGAUGGAUUGGUGCCUUCGGGAACUCGAACACAGGUGCUGCAUGGCUGUCGUCAGCUCGUGUCGUGAGAUGUUGGGUUAAGUCCCGCAACGAGCGCAACCCCCGUGGCGUGUUGCCAUCAUUAAGUUGGGGACUCACGCCAGACUGCCGGUGACAAACCGGAGGAAG